RNAcentral lists this long non-coding RNA (1773 nucleotides) under Nicotiana tabacum (common tobacco). RNAcentral describes it as "long non-coding RNA (NTAB_LNC001509)". The record is from RNAcentral. Lineage: Eukaryota; Viridiplantae; Streptophyta; Magnoliopsida; Solanales; Solanaceae.
CACCUCGAGGCGCAGGGUUCGAGACGACCAAAAGAAUGAGUCUAUAUCGAGUAAAAAGAAAAAGAAGAAAACGAAAAAGAAGUGAACUCAAAGUGCGGAAGUGGAGAAAGAUGCAGACUGCUCAAGAUAUGAUUGAAGUCACAAGCUUCGCAUGUCCCGCCUUGAUCUGAAAAGCUGAAGAAGAAGGAACCAGCACCUGCAGCUAACAAGCAUCAAGAUUCAGAUCAGAGUCCGCAUAAAGAACUAACCAAAACUCAAGAUUAAGAUUUAGAAGACUCAUAGAUAUGAAUCUUGUAACUCAUGGCUGAUAGGCUUAGUUAGUCUUUUUAAUUUUAAUUUUGAUGUAAUAACGGGACCACAGACCAGAACCUCAAUGGCACCUCGCUCGGCUCUUAACCUCGGUACUCCAUCAUCUCAUUCACUUCUGAACUACACAUGUCCUGAUUCCUUUAUAGCUAAGGAUAUGUAGGCAACUCAAAUAUCAGGGAUCAGUCACAUUCUCCUUCCUCUUAGUUUUUGGUCUCCUUAAAUAAGGGUCGGGUCAAAAAACCUGUCUAGUCUUUCUUUGUCUAAAAACUCUUCGCGUUUCCAGUCAAAAAUGGGCAGCUGUAGACAUGUGAUUUUUGACCCUCUCCAAGAUUUUUCAUAUUUUAGCACGUAAAUAUUUAGUUUAGGCCCAAUAUAGCUAUUUCAACUAAUUUUUACUCUUUUACUUUAUUUUAUUACAAGAAAAAUGAAAAUUACAAAAAUUAUUCCAUUAAUGUUUUGUAGUCAUUUUUAAUCUUGACAAAUACCAAAAAAUAGUUUUGUUUUAACGGUCAAUCUUAUUUUAAUAGUUAUUUACUUAAGUAGGACUAAUUAAUAAAUGAGAUCACAUUUUUAAUCUCGUUCGCAGGAAAAGAAUAAAACUUGGGCUCGAGCAACCCAUUUUUAGGCCUAAUUUUGGACCUAACCCAUAAUUCUCAAGCCUAUAAUUCCUAGGCCCAUACCCCUAACCUAAUUCCUACCCCUAUAUAAUAGAACCUAACACCUAAAUAUAAACCUACACCUAAAAAACAUAUUGAAUCUGUCGUUAUCUUCUGAAAAAUCAAAGAAAAGCUUUGAACGAAAAAAUACAAAAAACGCAAACAAACCUAGAGCCUAAGACUAAAAGGCUAACGAUCAGCUAAAAGAAUAAAGAGACAAUUGGAAAAAGCUGCACCACAAUUCUCAAUACAAGACCCCUCCCCCCAUCGAUUGUCUUUUCUUCUUCAAAAAACAUGAAGAAAGCUUCAGAAUUUUUUAAGUUUCAGCACCAUUGACGACCAAAAAACGACCUCACCGUUCUGCUUCCCCUCUAUCCAAAACCAGCAGAAACCAACGUCCAUCAAAACUCCAUCGCCGGACCCCCGUUCACCACGCAUCUUCCAUCUCCGGCGAGGCUUCAGCCGCAGAACACAACCCACCCUUUGUUCUUCGAAGGAGCAGCACCUUCAGCUCCUUUUUCUGGCGAAAAACGUAGAAAAACCUAACGCUAAGGAUCCCCUGAACCAAAACACACAAUCGCAUCUCCAAAAGAAAUCGAGCAAAUCUGAGGUGCCGACGAGGCCCAUUGUGGAGUUUUGUCACGGUUCCGACAGGUUUUCUCGUCUGGUUCGAGGUUUCCAUUUUUGGUGGUGAGAUUACUUCUUUUAUUUAUUUUUGGUUUUAUUACAUUGUUAUGAAUGCUUGGUUCUGUUACGAUGUUUGGGAAUGUUUUGUUCUAAUAAAAUUUUUAUUGCAUUAAUGUGUUGU